AUUCUAUCAUAAAAAGGGGUGGGGGAGAGUAGAUCAGGCAGACACAAUCACUGAAGGAGGAGAGUACAGGAGAUUUAGAGGAAGAAGAUCUGUGAAGAGGUUUGGGAGGAGUUAAGAAGGGAAAGCAAUCAGUCAUUUUUCCAAAGGCCAGUCUGCAGGGCUGGGACUGAGCACAGGCUGAAAUCAAGGUUGGACUACCUCUCAGCCCUUCUCAAGCCCUCCAGGCCUAGCAGUCUCCAUCUGAUCCUGUAUUGGAAAUGGGCAUGGAAGAUGCCACAACUUCUCAAGCUUUCCCUAGGAAAAGGGGUGGGUGAACUUCUGGCCUGAAGAAUCUGAGGAUGGAAGGUCAACUUUGCUCUUCUCCUGGGUUCUGGAACCAGACCUUCCUAACCUGCUCUGCUCACCUGGAGCCCCAGCCCACUGUCACCCAUGCCCUCAUCUCCAGACUCUUCUUCCAGCAAGUAAGAGUCACAGCAGCUAGGCUUGCAAAGCAGGGAUGGUGGCUUGGAGCACCAGCUUCCGUGUCAAGCAGGGCAGGCUGCACUCCCAGCGCCCUGGUGCCUCUGGCUCUCGAGGCUUGUUCCUCAUCUCUAGCUCCCUCACAGAGUUGUCCUGAGGCUCACAAUGGGAACACAUCAAUAAAUUACCUAUUGCAUUAAAAUGAGUUGUUAUUAUUGGCACAAUUGUUAUUGACGCUUAAGCCUGAAGGCAAAUAAAUGAUUUUUAGCUGC
This 731-nucleotide long non-coding RNA is filed under the name Homo sapiens (human). RNAcentral describes it as "HSALNT0386155". The record is from RNAcentral. Lineage: Eukaryota; Metazoa; Chordata; Mammalia; Primates; Hominidae.